GACGAACGCUGGCGGCGUGCUUAACACAUGCAAGUCGAACGGAAAGGCUCUGCUUUUGUGGGGUGCUCGAGUGGCGAACGGGUGAGUAACACGUGAGUAACCUGCCCUUGACUUUGGGAUAACUUCAGGAAACUGGGGCUAAUACCCGAUAGGAGCUCCUGCUGCAUGGUGGGGGUUGGAAAGUUUCGGCGGUUGGGGAUGGACUCGCGGCUUAUCAGCUUGUUGGUGGGGUAGUGGCUUACCAAGGCUUUGACGGGUAGCCGGCCUGAGAGGGUGACCGGCCACAUUGGGACUGAGAUACGGCCCAGACGCCUACGGGAGGCAGCAGUGGGGAAUAUUGCACGAUGGGCGGAAGCCUGAUGCAGCAACGCCGCGUGCGGGAUGACGGCCUUCGGGUUGUAAACCGCUUUCGCCUGUGACGAAGCGUGAGAGACGGUAAUGGGUAAAGAAGCACCGGCUAACUACGUG
This 468-nucleotide ribosomal RNA is filed under the name uncultured bacterium. RNAcentral's name for it is "partial 16S ribosomal RNA". It matches the Rfam family "Bacterial small subunit ribosomal RNA", at positions 28 to 507 of the family's 1533-position model. The record is from RNAcentral.